RNAcentral lists this non-coding RNA (160 nucleotides) under Tryblionella compressa. Lineage: Eukaryota; Bacillariophyta; Bacillariophyceae; Bacillariales; Bacillariaceae. The record is from RNAcentral.
UAUGGACGAAAUGAAAAACACUCAGUAAAUGAAAAAGAAACUACAAAAAUCUCAUAGCCUGCAACUCUCAUUACGUGAUAAUGUCAUGGAACUACGAUUUUCUUGCAUAACAUUUUUUCAUUACUCUUCUUAUCGUCAUUAUACCUUUCGCUUUGCCUGC